AUGGAGUUGUCGGGUUCCAUCGCCUGCCCCACGGCGGCUCAGGCGCGGCUGCUCCGGCCGCCGGCUGAUCUUCCCUGGCUCGCCUCGCCUCCUCAAAGGCGCAAUGUCCCUGCCUCUUCAGGAUACAUAUCUUGUAGGAGUUUUGCCGUGAGAAGCAAAGUGACCAAGGCGAUGCCUUCACUGAGUGUGAGCAUUCAGCCUGCAUUUCCUCAGCCAGUUACUCGGGCUACAUGGAAGAAGAAACACAAUGUUACAUGCUAUCAGAGACAAGGAGCUCCACAGAUAGAAGCCAAGUCAAUGGAGGAAGUAUAUGAUUCUUUGGCUGAGCACAUUCUUUCUGUCUUCAAGAGUAUCGAUAAUCUUGAUUCAAAAUAUAUUGUUGGUCUGGCUGGCCCACCUGGUGCAGGCAAGUCUACUGUUGCCUCUGAAGUGGUUCGACGCGUCAAUAUGCGUUGGUCUCAGAAGCAUACAAAAGAUAGUUCACUGAAUUCAAAUGAAGAUAUUGCGACAAUGCUUCCCAUGGAUGGUUUCCACCUUUAUCGAUCCCAGCUUGAUGCAAUGAAGGAUCCAAAAGAAGCACAUGCAAGAAGAGGAAGUGAGAAGGCACCAUGGACAUUCAAUCCAUCACUUUUUCUGAAAUGCCUACAGACCCUAAAGGAAGAGGGGUCAGUCUAUGCUCCAUCAUUUGAUCAUGGUGUUGGUGACCCAGUCGAGAAUGACAUAUUUGUAAAGCCGCAGCACAAAAUAGUGAUCGUCGAGGGGAAUUAUUUAUUACUGGAAGAAGAUUUUUGGAGGGAAAUUAGAGACAUGUUCGAUGAGAAAUGGUUCAUUGACAUUGACAUUGAUGUCUCCAUGCAAAGAGUGCUCCAGAGGCAUAUUGGCACAGGGAAAGAGCCAGAUGUAGCAGCAUGGCGGAUUUCAUACAAUGACCGGCCGAAUGCUGAGCUUAUCAUGGAGUCAAAAAAGGCUGCAGAUCUUGUAAUCAGAUCGGUGGACUACUGA
This 1002-nucleotide ribosomal RNA is filed under the name Triticum aestivum (bread wheat). Its description in RNAcentral is "partial small subunit ribosomal RNA". The record is from RNAcentral. Lineage: Eukaryota; Viridiplantae; Streptophyta; Magnoliopsida; Poales; Poaceae.